UUAUAAACUACAUUGUAGUUUUAAAUACAAUUGUCAACUCAGCACUUACACAGACAAUCUGUGGUAAUUUAAAGGAUGUUUUUACUAGUGGGAUUGGUUGGGCAAUAUUCGGAGGACUUCCAUAUGAUUUGUUCAAUGUUCUUGGUCAAUCACUUGGCUUCUUUGGUUCUUGUUUGUGUGCCUAUUGUAAAAUCCAAGGAAUAUGAAGAUGACAUAUUCAUUUAGAAACAUCAAAACUAAAAGAAGGUAGAAUGGUGCAAGAUUAUACCAUGCCCCUUCAGAUUUUGCUCUAAUAGAUUAGAGGAUCAGGAUCGUUUUCAGUUUCGAAGAAACUUACAUACGAUCUUAGCCAUUAAAAAUAUUGUAUUUU
Trifolium pratense (red clover) is the source of this 370-nucleotide long non-coding RNA. RefSeq lists it as uncharacterized. NCBI's taxonomy places the organism in Eukaryota, Viridiplantae, Streptophyta, Magnoliopsida, Fabales, Fabaceae. The record is from RefSeq and is a predicted model, not a curated record. The transcript has 3 exons.